This is a long non-coding RNA of Brienomyrus brachyistius, 612 nucleotides long. RefSeq lists it as uncharacterized. Lineage: Eukaryota; Metazoa; Chordata; Actinopteri; Osteoglossiformes; Mormyridae. The transcript has 2 exons. The record is from RefSeq and is a predicted model, not a curated record.
AUAAAAAUGGCAGUGGUUGACUGGGGGUCGAAUGCUGGCAAGGUUCUUCCGGUUACCUGACUUCGUGGUAAAGAUCUGCAUACGACGGAUUUAUUGGAGGUGGCUGUUUGGUAGGUGGCAGCGGGCAACGUGGAGGGAGUUUUAUCCGGCUGGUUGGAGAUCACUACGUCAUAAAGCAUUGCUGCUCUGCCUGCUUUUACAGCUGCGGUCUGGAUUGCCUGUCCUGCAGUUGCUGCUGCUUUGCCUCUUUGCCUCUGCUCUUGUCUUCUCUCCUUUUUGUAUUGAAUGUGGGGAUUGGUAGCCUUUUAUUCCUUGCUUAACUGCGAGGAUUAACUGUUUAAAGUGAGGGAUUUUAUUUUGUGUGUUUUAAGAUUCUUUGGGGUUGGGAUGCCAUUAGGGAGGAAGGGAACUUUGUGGUGGCAUGUUGUAUUGUGUGUAUGCAUGGGAGUUGUAGUGUUUUGUUUCAGGAUGCCAUCUGCUGUUUGACUGUUUAACCUCCUACCCUGUGUGGACCAGCCCCGAGGUUUUAUUUUGUCGUGUGGAUGGUGUUUUAUUAAUUUAUUUGUAAUAAAAGAUUGUAAGUGGAGUCACGUCUCCUGCUGCCGUGUAUAA